RNAcentral lists this ribosomal RNA (321 nucleotides) under uncultured bacterium. RNAcentral's name for it is "bacterial SSU rRNA". It matches the Rfam family "Bacterial small subunit ribosomal RNA", at positions 28 to 363 of the family's 1533-position model. The record is from RNAcentral.
AAUGAACGUUGGCGGCGUGGAUUAGGCAUGCAAGUCGAACGGGCCGCAAGGCCAGUGGCGGAAGGGUGAGUAAUGCGACGGUAACCAACCCCCGGAAAUGGGUAUAGCCGCGGGAAACUGCGGGUAAUCCCCAGCGACGUGUCGGGUCGGCAUCGACCUGACACCAAAGCUCCGGCGUUCCGGGACGGGCCGUUGUGGUAUUAGCUAGUUGGCGGGGUAACGGCCCACCAAGGCUGCGAUGCCUACCGGGCGUGCGAGCGUGCCCGGCACACUGGGACUGAGACACUGCCCAGACUCCUACGGAGGCUGCAGUCGAGAAUC